GUAUUAUAUAUAUGUGUGUAUAUGCAUACAUACAUAUAUAUAUACACACACACACACACACACACACACACACACACACACACACACACA
This 90-nucleotide microRNA precursor is filed under the name Echinops telfairi (small Madagascar hedgehog). RNAcentral describes it as "miRNA (ENSETEG00000023716.1)". The record is from RNAcentral. Lineage: Eukaryota; Metazoa; Chordata; Mammalia; Afrosoricida; Tenrecidae.